UUUCAGGCAUGACCAAUUCUUGCUUGGAAUCAAGAUAGCUAGUUGUCCUCAUUAGUCCAGAUAAGACCUUCACACACAGUGAUACAGCCAAUGCAAUGAGGUUGGAGGAAAGGAAGUACUACAGUUUUGCAGAUUUAGAAUCUUUAACUUGGAAGUACAUUCUUCUUGAUCCAAGACGUAUGGUACCACCCAUAUGUGUUUCUGAACCCUGUGAACGUGAUACAUGAGUGUUGGGAUCAAACUCUGAACUGUUCGCACCUAGCAACCCAA
RNAcentral lists this unclassified non-coding RNA (270 nucleotides) under Hevea brasiliensis (rubber tree). The record is from RNAcentral. Lineage: Eukaryota; Viridiplantae; Streptophyta; Magnoliopsida; Malpighiales; Euphorbiaceae.